Long non-coding RNA from Syngnathus acus (greater pipefish), 445 nucleotides. RefSeq lists it as uncharacterized. The record is from RefSeq and is a predicted model, not a curated record. NCBI's taxonomy places the organism in Eukaryota, Metazoa, Chordata, Actinopteri, Syngnathiformes, Syngnathidae. The transcript is spliced from 2 exons.
CUCGGUGGGGGUUGGCUGAUCCUGCUGCUGAUCCUGUGAGCGCCCGGGCGUCCAGCGCGAGCCUUUUAAAGGGGAUGCUGCUCAGGGUGACGUCACUGUGCAAAGCCUGCCCCCGCUUUAUGUCUGACGUCACAGGACAAUGAGGAGACACGCCAACACCUUGAGGACCUCCGCCAUGACCACGGCUGACGUGGCCAGGAAGCCCUCGCCUGGCAAUGUGCGCACGUAUUGGAUGCUGAGGAUAAGCGACGCAUUCUGGACCACCAGCACUGCCAGACUUAUGUACUUCAGCUUGUGGUUCACUGACACUGAUACACACAUACACAAACAAAUACACAACCAUCUUGUCACCGUCAGGUAUGUACCAAAAACCAUAAUCAUCCAGCAAAUUGAGAAAAGAACAUUCAUGAGCACAACAUGAAUAAAAACACAUCACGUUAAAUCA